Molecule: ribosomal RNA, 253 nt
Filed under: uncultured bacterium
Lineage: Bacteria
Description: partial 16S ribosomal RNA
Rfam family: Bacterial small subunit ribosomal RNA
Source: RNAcentral
UACGUAGGGUCCGAGCGUUGUCCGGAAUUAUUGGGCGUAAAGAGCUCGUAGGCGGUUUGUCGCGUCUGCUGUGAAAUCCCGAGGCUCAACCUCGGGCCUGCAGUGGGUACGGGCAGACUGGAGUGCGGUAGGGGAGAAUGGAAUUCCUGGUGUAGCGGUGGAAUGCGCAGAUAUCAGGAGGAACACCCGUAGCGAAGGCGGCACUCUGGGCCGAUUCUGACACUGAGGAGCGAAAGCGUGGGGAGCGAACAGG